This 85-nucleotide transfer RNA is filed under the name Bacteroidota bacterium. RNAcentral's name for it is "tRNA-Tyr". It matches the Rfam family "tRNA". From Rfam's summary of the family: Transfer RNA (tRNA) molecules are approximately 80 nucleotides in length. Their secondary structure includes four short double-helical elements and three loops (D, anti-codon, and T loops). Further hydrogen bonds mediate the characteristic L-shaped molecular structure. tRNAs have two regions of fundamental functional importance: the anti-codon, which is responsible for specific mRNA codon recognition, and the 3' end, to which the tRNAs corresponding amino acid is attached (by aminoacyl-tRNA synthetases). tRNAs cope with the degeneracy of the genetic code in two manners: having more than one tRNA (with a specific anti-codon) for a particular amino acid; and 'wobble' base-pairing, i.e. permitting non-standard base-pairing at the 3rd anti-codon position. Lineage: Bacteria; Pseudomonadati; Bacteroidota. RNAcentral also lists the same sequence under 1 other name. The record is from RNAcentral.
GGGGAGAUACUCAAGCGGCCAACGAGGACAGACUGUAAAUCUGUUGACUAUGUCUUCGCAGGUUCGAAUCCUGCUCUCCCCACCA